Molecule: unclassified non-coding RNA, 234 nt
Filed under: uncultured Ascomycota
Lineage: Eukaryota; Fungi; Ascomycota
Description: sequence contains 5.8S rRNA gene, ITS2, 28S rRNA gene
Source: RNAcentral
AACGCACAUUGCGCCCGUUGGUAUUCCGACGGGCACGCCUGUCCGAGCGUCAUUGCAACAAUCACGCCUCGCGUGGUGUUGGGGGCCGGUCGCAUCGACCCCCCCGGAACCCGUUGGCGGUGGCUCAUCUCCCCGAUCGUCGCGUCCGUUACGAGCGAGCGGUGGGCCUCCAGCCGAACCUUUUUGACACCUCAGUUUGACCUCGGAUCAGGUAGGGAUACCCGCUGAACUUAA